This is a long non-coding RNA of Oncorhynchus keta (chum salmon), 356 nucleotides long. RefSeq lists it as uncharacterized. The transcript has 4 exons. Lineage: Eukaryota; Metazoa; Chordata; Actinopteri; Salmoniformes; Salmonidae. The record is from RefSeq and is a predicted model, not a curated record.
CCAAUAUAAAGGAUCAAAACUGGAGGAGGCAGGUGGCAGCGGGAGGAGGUAGUGAACUGGUCUGUCUGCCCAAUAUAAAGGAUCAAAACUGGAGGAGGCAGGUGGCAGCGGGAGGAGGUAGUGAACUGGUCUGUCUGCCCAAUAUAAAGGAUCAAAACUGGAGGAGGCAGGUGGCAGCGGGAGGAGGUAGGGAACUGGUCUGUCUGCCCAAUAUAAAGGAUCAAAACUGGAGGAGGCAGGUGGCAGCGGGAGGAGGUAGGGAACUGGUCUGUCUGCCCAAUAUAAAGGAUCAAAACUGGAGGAGGCAGGUGGCAGCGGGAGGAGGUAGUGAACUGGUCUGUCUGCCCAAUAUAAAG